GCGCAGAGGUGAAGUCUCGGCUAAAGCCGGCUUAGGGCACUGUGGCCUGAAUAAACCAAAGAGAAGAUCCACCGUGCCAGCUUCGUGGGCCCCCUGGGAACCGCGCCUGGGAGCGGAUGCUGCUGCCCAGGCGGAACGUGCCGAGUCCCGCGCUCCGAGGCAGCGGGGCACCGCCCGCCUCCGCCCCGCCCCUCGUCUUCGGCUGGUCCAAUCCCACGGCCUUCAUGUAAAUGAGGCUCUGAGAGCGAGCCUACCACCGCCCAGCAGCGUUUUGAUUCAUUGUUAAAAUGUAAAGGCCGUGACCCUGGUACUCGCACCCCGCAGCCCCAGUGCGUGGAAACCCGAGCCCAGGCCCCUUCUAGAAGGUCAGCCAGUGGCUCACAGGAGCUGCCCUGGCCUGGCUCACCCAACAUGGAGCAUGAGGCUGAGGAGGUCUCCUGGGAACCCUUCGAGGCCAAUAUGCUUACCCAGAGCUGCUGUCAAAACUGCCUCCACCCUGAGGAGGCCCAUGGAGCAAGACACCAGGAGCUGGGGAGCCCUUCCAGUGCUGAGGCGCCCUACUGCGACCUGCCCCGCUGCCCACCAGCCCCUGAGGACCUGCUCGGCGCCUCCACCUCCGAUUGCCAGGGGCCCAAGAGGGGCCUGUCCCUGACAGCAGGGCUUCCUGAGGAGGACCCCACAGCUGCCCCCAGGAGCAGGCACCAGGAGCUGGAGGCAGUGCCCUAUCUGGAGGGCCUGGCCCCCUCCCCGAGUGGCAGCUGCUACGAGGACCCCAACUCUGACACCAGCUGCAGCCCUGGCACUUCCACCCAUGACACCGGCAGGUCGUCCUCUGUGGACUGCGACACUGUGGAGAGGUGGGCGGAAGUCCCCAGCUGGGACCUGCUCGCGAUGAUCCCGCAGAGGCCCCAGGAGGGGCAAAGAGCCGAAGGUGCCCGAAGGGCCACCAGGUCCCCUACAAGAGGAGACACUGCAGGCCAGAAAAAGGAUGAUUCGGGCGCUGGGAGCCGCUGUGCCGCACAGCACUGGGCCAAGCUCCGGGGAGAAGGCCGGUACUUCUCCUUGGAGCGACAGCACUCAGCCCCUGCCCAGGCUUCCUCUGCGACACCACAGCACAGACCUCACAGCGCCACCACCCAGGCCUCUGCUCAGGCUGCUUCAGCACAGCGCGAAGCCCCCCGGGCCUCCUCCCCCCACCGAGUCGCUCAGAAGGACAGCCCUAGGCCCUCUUCCACCCAGCAGGACGCCCCCAGGGCCUCCCUCACCCAGCGGAAUACCCAGGCGACGUCAUUGCCCGCCAGAGUGAGCCCGCGGGCUAGCCCCGGAACCUCAUCCACCCAAGGACACCGUCCUCAACCGUCCUCUCCCCUCAGAGCUGCCCAGGAAGACAACCUCGGAACCUCUGCUCAACAGGACAGCCCACAGUCCUCAGUUCCCACUUCUCAGCGGGAGACCCCCAGGACAUCCUGUGCCCAGCGGGACAACCCCAGAGCCUCCUCCCCGAGCAGAGCCACCCAGCGGGACAACCCCAGAGCAUCUUCCCCCAGCAGAACCACCCAGAGGGACACCCCCAGAACCUCCUGUGCUCAGCGGAACAACCCCAGAACUUCCUCCCCGAGCAGAGCCACCCAGAGGGACACCCCCAGAGCAUCCUCCCCCAACAGAACCACC
This 1671-nucleotide long non-coding RNA is filed under the name Ictidomys tridecemlineatus (thirteen-lined ground squirrel). RNAcentral's name for it is "lncRNA (ENSSTOG00000032115.1)". The record is from RNAcentral. Lineage: Eukaryota; Metazoa; Chordata; Mammalia; Rodentia; Sciuridae.